Molecule: long non-coding RNA, 1122 nt
Organism: Sardina pilchardus (European sardine)
Lineage: Eukaryota; Metazoa; Chordata; Actinopteri; Clupeiformes; Clupeidae
Exons: 5
Source: RefSeq, a predicted model, not a curated record
CGAUCUUGACCUCUUAAUUCGGUCCUCCAUGUUGCCCCAGACAGCUCCUAGCUGGCAAAUACCAACCAAAUGCUGCGUGAGGCGAAUGCUGGGUUCGGCUUGCCCUAAAAGCAAUUGCUCUUCACUAAGGUCCUGCUGUGGGAGCAAAGCCAACGUUCUUAACUUUGUGGUCUCCCUAGGGGAGGUGACCCAGGCAGCUCAAAUCGACACUGUGCUGGGGGUUCAGGAGUCCCUCCAGCCGCUUUCAUUGACCACCGGGAAUAGUGGGAGUCUGUGGGACUAAUGACUAGACCGCAAGUCUCUCAGGAGAGAGGAUGUCUGCAUCCUACUCUUCGCUUCCCUACACACACUCAGAGGAGCGAGGAGCCGCGGAGUGUGGAGAUGUGGUGUCACCCCGUAAUCCUGGGAGUGCAUCAUCAGGCGACCCUCGGGGGGACUGAGGGAGCGGCGUCGAGGAGGAUCCAGGCUCCUGGAUGGACUACCCACAAUGAGCUAAAUAUUCAAAAGCGUAGGCUCAUUUAAUCCUGACCCAUCCGCAGCUCUCCCCUGUGAACAAAGAAGGAGUCCAUCGGAAAGUACUUGUGCAGCGGAAACAAUAGACCAAAGGGACAGACUCUCUGGGGGAUACUCAAAUGAUGCUCAAUGUACUGAUUACUGAACCACUGAGAUGCUCUGAAGUCUCCUGGGCGACACGCUCACAAAGGCAUUGAUCAAUCACGUCAUUAUCAGGUAAUAGGUGUCUCACAUCUGGUUGAGAUUGUAGUGCUAGAUGCUAGAUUGAAAAUAACAAGCACUCCAUGGUUAUUUGAUGGGGGCAUUCAAAUGUAAGUGCUCCACAACAACUGAUGUAAUUGUGCUGGAGAUAUUUUUUUUCUCCUGUAUGUGACAGCAUAGACGCAAAUUCUUGCAAUGGCUCGUUUUUUUUUCAGUCUCUCAUCAAGUGUAUGUCAUUAUGUUUCAAUGAUGUCCCCUCUUACAUCUCUCAAUGUACCCUGCUGUUUAGAUGGGAAAUCUAUCUUCUAUGCUUGUAUCUAUGCUCUAUAUUUGCAUUGCAUUUUUUUCUAACCUACAGCAGCAAAUAUGUAUUUACUGUCAAAAUGCAGAUUGUAUUACACAAAUCGU